This 169-nucleotide ribosomal RNA is filed under the name uncultured bacterium. Its description in RNAcentral is "partial 16S ribosomal RNA". It matches the Rfam family "Bacterial small subunit ribosomal RNA", at positions 164 to 334 of the family's 1533-position model. The record is from RNAcentral.
UAUAACGCAAUGUGGUGGUGAGCGUAUUGCUUAUCAGUAAAGCCUUCGGGCGCCUGGAGAAGGGCUUGCGUCUGAUUAGCUAGUUGGUGGGGUAAUAGCCUACCAAGGCGAUGAUCAGUAGCUGGUCUGAGAGGACGAUCAGCCAGACAGGGACUGAGACACGGCCCUG